CAGCACCUCAAGUGGUCAGGAUGAUUAUUGGGCCUAAAGCAUCCGUAGCCUGCUUUGUUAGUUUUCGGUUAAAUCCAUACGCUCAACGUAUGGGCUGCCGGGAAUACUGCAAAGCUAGGGAGUGGGAGAGGUAGACGGUACUCAGUAGGAAGGGGUAAAAUCCUUUGAUCUAUUGAUGACCACCUGUGGCGAAGGCGGUCUACCAGAACACGUCCGACGGUGAGGGAUGAAAGCUGGGGGAGCAAACCGGAUUAGAUACCCGAGUAGUCC
RNAcentral lists this ribosomal RNA (270 nucleotides) under uncultured archaeon. RNAcentral describes it as "partial 16S ribosomal RNA". It matches the Rfam family "Archaeal small subunit ribosomal RNA", at positions 477 to 747 of the family's 1478-position model. The record is from RNAcentral.